CCCAGCACUCCACGCUCAGACCUGGGGGCCAACAGCCUAAGGCUGUCCACUCCUUUUUCCAGCCCCAGAGAGGUUGAAAAUACAGUCUUCAAGUGCCCCCUGGUGGCUGACAAGCAGAAUAACCAAGUCAGCAUUAUCAGAUCUAAGAUGCAGAUGAGGACACUGAGGCAGAAGAGGCAGUCUUACCUGAUAAUUCAGUGUCAUAGCAGGGGAGCUACAAAGAACUGAUAUGUCCAAGAUACCAGUGUUCGAGGAGGAGCAAAGGACAAUUUCUACCCUGUAUAACCGGUUCCUAAGUAAUGUUAACAAAUUAGGCAUAAAUUACUGAAGGAAAACAGAAAACAAGUUUAGGGAAAAUUAUUUUAAAAUGUAAAUUCAUGGGGGGAACAAUAUGUUGGUUUAUUUUUCUUUCUCUGAGAUAUGUGUAAAGAAAAGGUCAGGUUUUUGUAGCUGUAACUAGGCCAAAAGGUAUGAUGGAAAGAACCAAGGGAUUCCUAGCUCCUUUCUAACAGGUAAGCAGUUUGGGGAAUGAGUAGUUUCUAAGAAUAAUUUGCAAACAUAUUUACUUAUUUACAUUUAAAUUAUUUUUAGUAUUUUUGUGUGAGAAAACAAUAGGUCAUCUAAUUUACCUGGUUUCACUUAAACUUUCUCAAAGUAAAUGGGGAAAAAAAUGUAGGUCCAUCUAAGAUAAGAAUAUAAUGUAGUUUCCUGACACUAUUACAUAACGUCGAUGUUAACAUACUUCCUUUCUUUCCUUUGCCUUCUGUAAACAAGGCAUUAAAGGGAGAAAUUAGGUGGUUGCAGGAUGAAUCUUAAUUAUGGAUUACCCUGAAUAUGAAGUUAUGGUGCUACUACAUUCUUAAUUAGACAUUCAAGAAGACAGAGCUUUGUUUAUUUUUAAUAAGCA
Molecule: long non-coding RNA, 907 nt
Organism: Myotis myotis
Lineage: Eukaryota; Metazoa; Chordata; Mammalia; Chiroptera; Vespertilionidae
Exons: 4
Source: RefSeq, a predicted model, not a curated record